This 329-nucleotide long non-coding RNA is filed under the name Nicotiana tabacum (common tobacco). Its description in RNAcentral is "long non-coding RNA (NTAB_LNC007604)". Lineage: Eukaryota; Viridiplantae; Streptophyta; Magnoliopsida; Solanales; Solanaceae. The record is from RNAcentral.
CCAGCAUUUGAUGUCCUGCGUUUUUUCCCGCCACCUAUCCUACUGCUGCUCCCAGCCAUAUGUGGAGUUUUAGACACAGAGAGGUUGUUGGUUCCAGCGACAUGUGAAUUUGCCAAGUUUGCACCGCGUCCCCCAAUGUUCAUCACGUUGCUGCCACCGGCCACAUGUGGAGUUUUAGACACAGUGAGGUUGUUGCUUCCAGCCACAUGUGCAUUUGUCAGGUUUGUACCACUUCCCCCAGUGUUCAUCACCUUGCUGCCCCAAGCCGCAUUUGGAGUUUUAGACACAGUGAGGUUGUUGCUUCCAGCUACAUGUGCAUUUGCCAAGUU